GACGAACGCUGGCGGCGUGCUUAAUACAUGCAAGUCGAACGGAAAGGCCCUGCUCUUGCGGGGUGCUCGAUUGGCGAACGGGGGAGUAACACGCGAGUAACCCGCCCUUGACUGUGGGAUAACUCCAGGAAACUGGGGCUCAUACCGGAUAGGAGCUCCUGCUGCAUGGUGGGGGUUGGAAAGUUUCGGCGGUUGGGGAUGGACUCGCGGCUUAUCAGCUUGUUGGUGGGGUAGUGGCUUACCAAGGCUUUGACGGAUAGCCGGCCUGGGAGGGUGACCGGCGACAUUAGGACUAAGGUACGGCGCAGUCUGCUACGGGAGGCAACAGUGGGGAAUAUUGCACAGUGAGCGGAAGCGUGAUGCGGCAGCGCCGCGUGCGGGAUGACGGCCUUCGGGUUGUAAACCAAUUUCGCCUGUGACGAAGCGUGAGUGACGGUAAUGGGUAAAGAAGCACCGGCUAACUACGUG
Molecule: ribosomal RNA, 468 nt
Filed under: uncultured bacterium
Lineage: Bacteria
Description: partial 16S ribosomal RNA
Rfam family: Bacterial small subunit ribosomal RNA
Source: RNAcentral